GAUGAACGCUGGCGGCGUGCCUAAUACAUGCAAGUCGAGCGAACAGACGAGGAGCUUGCUCCUCUGACGUUAGCGGCGGACGGGUGAGUAACACGUGGAUAACCUACCUAUAAGACUGGGAUAACUUCGGGAAACCGGAGCUAAUACCGGAUAAUAUAUUUAACCGCAUGGUUCAAUAGUGAAAGACGGUUUUGCUGUCACUUAUAGAUGGUUCCGCGCCGCAUUAGCUAGUUGGUAAGGUAACGGCUUACCAAGGCAACGAUGCGUAGCCGACCUGAGAGGGUGAUCGGCCACACUGGAACUGAGACACGGUCCAGACGCCUACGGGAGGCAGCAGUAGGGAAUCUUCCGCAAUGGGCGAAAGCUUGACGGAGCAACGCCGCGUGAGUGAUGAAGGUCUUCGGAUCGUAAAACUCUGUUAUUAGGGAAGAACAAAUGUGUAAGUAACUAUGCACGUCUUGACGGUACCUAAUCAGAAAGCCACGGCUAACUACGUG
RNAcentral lists this ribosomal RNA (497 nucleotides) under uncultured bacterium. RNAcentral's name for it is "partial 16S ribosomal RNA". It matches the Rfam family "Bacterial small subunit ribosomal RNA", at positions 28 to 507 of the family's 1533-position model. The record is from RNAcentral.